UGUUGAUGAUAUGGACAGUCCCAAAAAAAAUCUUUGAACCUCUCCCAUUCAUAAUAUAAAUUCUCACCUGGCUUCUGUUUAAAGCAUAAAUCUCACUAGGCAGUUU
Molecule: non-coding RNA, 106 nt
Organism: Capsicum annuum
Lineage: Eukaryota; Viridiplantae; Streptophyta; Magnoliopsida; Solanales; Solanaceae
Source: Rfam